Molecule: ribosomal RNA, 253 nt
Filed under: uncultured bacterium
Lineage: Bacteria
Description: partial 16S ribosomal RNA
Rfam family: Bacterial small subunit ribosomal RNA
Source: RNAcentral
UACGAAGGGGGCUAGCGUUGCUCGGAAUUACUGGGCGUAAAGGGUGCGUAGGCGGUGCGUUAAGUCUGAUGUGAAAGCCCUGGGCUCAACUCAGGAAUUGCAUUGGAAACUGGCGUGCUGGAGUACGGGAGAGGGAAGCGGAAUUCCUGGUGUAGCGGUGAAAUGCGUAGAUACCAGGAGGAACACCGGUGGCGAAGGCGGUUUCCUGGCCCAGUACUGACGCUGAGGCACGAAAGCGUGGGGAGCGAACGGG